RNAcentral lists this unclassified non-coding RNA (342 nucleotides) under soil metagenome. Its description in RNAcentral is "partial contains 5.8S ribosomal RNA, internal transcribed spacer 2, and large subunit ribosomal RNA". The stretch from base 1 to 120 matches the Rfam family "5.8S ribosomal RNA", at positions 35 to 154 of the family's 154-position model. The record is from RNAcentral.
GAUGAAGAACGUAGCGAAAUGCGAUAAGUAGUGUGGAUUGCAGAAUUCAGUGAAUCAUCGAAUCUUUGAACGCACAUUGCGGCCAUAGGUAUUCCUUUGGCCAUGCCUGUUCGAGCGUCAUUUACACCCUCAAGCCUAGCUUGGUGUUGGGCGUCUGUCCCGCCGUUCUCGCGCGCGGACUCGCCUCAAAGUCAUUGGCGGCGGUCGUGCCGGCCCCCUCGCGCAGCACAUUUGCGCUUCUCGGAGGCCCGGCGGAUCCGCGCUCCAGCAAGACCUUUCACGACUUGACCUCGGAUCAGGUAGGGAUACCCGCUGAACUUAAGCAUAUCAAUAAGCGGAGGA